Hyla sarda is the source of this 1476-nucleotide long non-coding RNA. RefSeq lists it as uncharacterized. NCBI's taxonomy places the organism in Eukaryota, Metazoa, Chordata, Amphibia, Anura, Hylidae. The transcript has 3 exons. The record is from RefSeq and is a predicted model, not a curated record.
GCAGCACUGAGCAGAAAUAACACGGCUCCUGCUCAUUCUUCAUCAGUGAGGGGCUGAUGCUGGACACUGUAGGGACCCUGGAAUAUAAAUUCAUACACGACUGAUCUUUGUAGGAAGAAGUUGAUGGAGACCUCAGGAUCUUUCUCCGGGAACAGUUCUUUUACAAACCAAUAUGGUGGAAACUGCCUCUGGUUAUCCAAGUCCUGAAAAGAAAGAUUUUAUUGCAGGUUAACUAUUUUAGCAUUUCAUCUCCUGGUUACAUUAGAGUCUAUGAUGGUGUCACUAAAUCCUCACGUGUCCUAUUGGAGAAGACAAGCGGAGGCGGACACUUACGACCUGUGGUUUCCUCUGGACAUAACAUGCUUGUAGAGUUUGUGACCACAGCCAGUUCUAAAUUUAGCGAAUUCGAUGUCUCUUAUAACACUGGUAAGUGGUCAGCAGUGGUCCAAAACAAUUUUCCAGUGGAAAAAGAAGGGAUUGAUCAUAAUACAAUGUCCUGACCUCCGGAUCACAAUGUCAUCUUGGUCUACCCCAUUCUUGAGCAUGUGUAGAUUCAGUGAAAAGUCAUGUAACAUUAUUUUACUAGCUAAGUAACAUUAGUGGUGUCCAUUUGCACCACAUAUCAGUCCCUGUGUAAAAUAAAUAAAGUUGUGACUUUUUAUCUGCUUGGACUUUUGCCCCCUUUAUGAAAAGUGGUAACCAGGCAAAGGGCAAGUAUGGGUCAGAGAUCCAGUUUCCCCAACCCAACAGGGCCAAGCUGCCUGCUUCAGUGGCAAUGAGCGAUAAGGCUUCUUUAAAGGGGUACGCUGCCCCAAGACAUCUUAUCCCCUAUCCAAAAGGGACCCCUGCGAUCUCUGCUGUGGCACCCCAGACAUCCGGUGCACUAAGCGAGCUUCGUUCCAUGCCGGAUGACUAGAGAUACGGGGCAGAGGCUCGUGAUGUCACGGCCACGCCCCACUCGUGGGAUCACGGCAACGCCCCCUCAAUGCAAGUCUAUGUGAGGGGGGCAUGAAGUCACAAGCCUCAGACGCUGCACCCGACGCUCUAAAUGAAUACAGGGAGAUUGCCGGGGUCCCCAGCGGCUGGACCGGAUGUCUAGGGGCUGAGUACACCGUUAAGGCUGGCCCAGUUCUUGACAAAGAUGCCCUACAGCUGCCUAUUCCCUCAAUAUAGAGCCAACAGCGAUUUUUCCAGAAAUACUUAAUUUUAAAGGGGUUAUCAAAGAGCAGUUUUUGGAAGAAAUUAGCUCUAUUUUUUUUAUUUUUUUAUGUAUUCAAAAAGUUUUUAUUGAACAAAUAUGGGAGAACAAACAACAUCCACCGCAAGUAGGGUGGUAAUAAAUCUCCAACUACAACACUCGCAGAGUUGACAAUCCCUGGCGAGAUCAUAUAACAAUGGUAAUGAGAGAAAUCUUACACAGUCUACUGCAUUAGUAUAGUUGAGGGACUAUCAGGAGAAAUUACACAGUGGGGUAAA